GGUGAACGCUGGCGGCGUGCCUAAUACAUGCAGUCGAGCGAACAGAUAAGGAGCUUGCUCCUUUGACGUUAGCGGCGGACGGGUGAGUAACACGUGGAUAACCUACCUAUAAGACUGGGAUAACUUCGGGAAACCGGAGCUAAUACCGGAUAACAUAUUGAACCGCAUGGUUCAAUAGUGAAAGGCGGCUUUGCUGUCACUUAUAGAUGGAUCCGCGCCGUAUUAGCUAGUUGGUAAGGUAACGGCUUACCAAGGCAACGAUACGUAGCCGACCUGAGAGGGUGAUCGGCCACACUGGAACUGAGACACGGUCCAGACUCCUACGGGAGGCAGCAGUAGGGAAUCUUCCGCAAUGGGCGAAAGCCUGACGGAGCAACGCCGCGUGAGUGAUGAAGGUCUUCGGAUCGUAAAACUCUGUUAUCAGGGAAGAACAAAUGUGUAAGUAACUGUGCACAUCUUGACGGUACCUGAUCAGAAAGCCACGGCUAACUACGUGCCAGCAGCCGCGGUAAUACGUAGGUGGCAAGCGUUAUCCGGAAUUAUUGGGCGUAAAGCGCGCGUAGGCGGUUUUUUAAGUCUGAUGUGAAAGCCCACGGCUCA
RNAcentral lists this ribosomal RNA (600 nucleotides) under Staphylococcus warneri. RNAcentral describes it as "bacterial SSU rRNA". It matches the Rfam family "Bacterial small subunit ribosomal RNA", at positions 28 to 611 of the family's 1533-position model. Lineage: Bacteria; Bacillati; Bacillota; Bacilli; Caryophanales; Staphylococcaceae. The record is from RNAcentral.